GGAUAGCGUGCAGGGACUCAAAAUGCGGAGGUGGCGGGUUUUGAAACCCGUAACAGCUAGUUGUUGAUCCAGUCAACUAGCACCACCCUCAGUCAGGAGGAGGAUGACCUGCUAGCUGUGCUAACCAUAAGGAGACUGAUCUGGCAGUGCCAUCCAUGGUGGAACAUCUCCGGCGUGUUCGUCGGGUCUGGCGCGAGGCCCAGGCAGCCCUCGUCCGCACUGCGGCCCGCAAUCAGCGAGUGGCGGAUCGGCACCGGCCCCGGACUACCAGCCGGGACAGAUGGUCUGGCUAUCAUCCCGUGAUCUGCCCCUCCAGACUGAGUCCCGUAAACUGACUCCGAGGGGGUGUGGCUGGCUGUUGGCGGCAACUGGACGAGGCACACCUGCAUCCAAUCAUCCUCCUCCAUAUAAACCUGGGUGUCUCACGUCGACGCCAGAUUAUUCCGUCCACUACGAACUCUUGUGUGCAUCAUCGCCGGCUCUUCGUCCUCCCCGUUGCCAGGAUCCUCGCCAGCC
This is a long non-coding RNA of Gasterosteus aculeatus aculeatus (three-spined stickleback), 516 nucleotides long. The record is from Ensembl. NCBI's taxonomy places the organism in Eukaryota, Metazoa, Chordata, Actinopteri, Perciformes, Gasterosteidae.